GCGCCGGGGCGGGCUCCGAGGGUACCCUGGUGCUAGGGGUCGUCCGUCCUCCCAGCCUGGCAGCUGGGGGUUCGUGUCUGCGCGCGUCCGCGGCGCCUAGGUGGCCUUUGCUCCUCCAGCCCCCAUUGAAGGACGUUUGUCUGUUGCAGUAGUUCUCAAAGUGUGGGCCAGGAACACCCUGGAGCUUCCUGAGACCCUGUGAGUUGAACCCAGCCACCAUGCUGAGAGGAUCCUAGGCCACUUGAAGGGGUCGGUGCUCCAGUCAACAGUCCCAGCUGAGCUCACACCUGGCAGCCAGCGCCAGCCUUAAUCUUCACCCUGAGCCUUCAAAUGUCUCCAGCCCUGAUCGCGUUGACCUGAAACCACACAAGAGGCCCUAAGUGAAAAGAACCACCCAGCUACCCAGUCAACUUAUAGAACGCAACAAUCACUUGUACAGCGUGACUGAGUUUCUCUCUGUGAGAUCUGCAACCAGCCACCAGUGGUGUGGAGGAGGAGGUGACAGAUCCAAGUGUCAACUGCUGCUGCUGCUGCUGCUGCUGCUGCUGAUCAACUGCUGAGAUGAUGAUGGGAGUUUAAGUUCACUGUGAUUUCCACACCGAGAAUUUGAGGACCAACAAGGAGCUCGGUGGGCUGGGGCUCAAGGAAGACACAGCUCUGGUACUGUGUCAUUUAAGCCUGGAACGAUCCAAAUGGGAUUUGAGUCUACAAACUGAAUCAUGGCAAGGAGUGUCAAGUCUGAGGUAUGGAGGUGUGAUUCUGAAAACCAGCCUCAAGCAGGAUUUAUAUGAACCAUGUGUUUUACUCACUUGAGCAGCCAGGGCAAUAGUCUGAACUACUAAUGGAACAGGUACUGUGAAUACGGCUAAAUAUAUUCAUGUUUGAAGAGGCACGAGAGCUCGCACAAAGAAGACUAAUAUGGCAGCCUAGGCUCCACCUGUUACAAGUCCCGUUUUCAGGGUUGGCCUGGCCCUUGGCUGACACCUGGCAACUUGGCUUUUAGAGUUUUGUGUGUAUCCCAACUGAUAAGCAUGUCUCACUGUGCCCAGAAUAUGCAAACGAUGUGAUUUACACUGAACACCUGCUUUCCUUCUGGGAGUCUGGAAUGUGGUAUGUUUUAGACAGAAGGUGCCUACUUGCCUGGUCUUCAGUGCAUUGUGUGACCCCCUCAGAAGAGGGAGAGAGAAGAGGGAGAGAUUGCAUCACAAUCUGUCCUCUUGUCCCUGUAAUCCUGCUCGGUGUGGAAAUCACAGUGAACUUAAACUCCCAUCAUCAUCUCAGUGCAUUGUGUGACCCCCUCAGAAGAGGGGAGAAGAGAAGACAGAAAUCCUGCACGUGGAUUUCCCCAGACUUCACCUUUCUCCUUAUGGUCCACCUGUGUGUCCUUGCUACAUCACUACAAUAAGCCUUAGCUUGUACAGCUCUGCCAGGGGACUGUGGCCUCUACUGCAGCCCUCUUCACAGGACCCUGGCUUCAGCCUUUCCCACUCUGCAUCUCCAGCUGAUGCCCUCACAUCUGCUUUCACCUUGCUCAAAUUUGCAGAAUGAAUUCUCUGAUGUGAAAGAAGGUGAGAGCUCCCAGCAAAGGCUUUCCCACACUGAUUACAUUCAAAAGGUUUCUCUCCAGUAUGAGUUCUCUGAUGCUCAAUAAGGCUACCCACAGAAAAAAAGACUCUUUCACCACUCCAUAGUCAAUGCCACCGACACCCCAGAAAAGCACUGUCGUCCUUGAAACAGUGUGGUUGGCCAGGCUGGGUUGCAACUGGGCUUCACUAACCAGCAACUUCUGAAGCUCAUUCUCCUCGGUGAGAGAGAGAGAGCACACACGUGCAUGCAGCGUAUACAC
Long non-coding RNA from Lynx canadensis (Canada lynx), 1846 nucleotides. RefSeq lists it as uncharacterized. The record is from RefSeq and is a predicted model, not a curated record. NCBI's taxonomy places the organism in Eukaryota, Metazoa, Chordata, Mammalia, Carnivora, Felidae. The transcript has 9 exons.